This 332-nucleotide long non-coding RNA is filed under the name Aotus nancymaae (Ma's night monkey). RNAcentral describes it as "lncRNA (ENSANAG00000039479.1)". The record is from RNAcentral. Lineage: Eukaryota; Metazoa; Chordata; Mammalia; Primates; Aotidae.
AUGCAGAUCAUCAAUGCCGUGGUACUGUUGAUUUUAUUGAGUGCCCUGGCUGAUCCGGAUCAGUAUCACUUUUCAAGUUCUGAACUGGGCGGUGACUUUGAGUUCAUGGACGAUGCCAACAUGUGCAUUGCUAUUGCGAUUUCUCUUCUCAUGAUUCUGAUAUGUGCUAUGGCUAUUUAUGGAGCAUACAAGGUAAGCAGCUUGCAGUAAGAUGCUGGCCUUUUCCUCGGUCUCUUACUUGUUUCAUCUGUGCUGCUAUCUAUAGUAAGAAAGAAGUGACUUUCCAGCUUUCUGUAAGAAUCUCUGAAUAAUGUUUAAAUCUCUCAUUUGUA